Long non-coding RNA from Rhinopithecus bieti (black snub-nosed monkey), 2025 nucleotides. Lineage: Eukaryota; Metazoa; Chordata; Mammalia; Primates; Cercopithecidae. The record is from Ensembl.
UGUUUUUUGCUUUUUUGCUCAUGUGUUCAACAUCCAGGAGAAAUGAGGACCCAAAACUUAUCCACUGGUUACGUGUGGUGUGUGUGGCUGUCAUCUCCUCGGGACUGGCUACUGAAGGCCACAGGAGCGGGAGGACCAAAGGCUCCCUGGAUGUUGUGUCCUGGCCUGUGAGCUGCACACAGUCCCGCUUGCAGCAAAGAUGUGGUGGGCAGCUGGGCUGUGAGGGAAGGCCAGGCUGUGACAGGAACCUCAGAUCUCACCGGGGAAUGAGAGUGGUAUCCCCCUGCAGCGGGAGUCCGUGCUGGCCUGAGAGGCUCCAGGCUGUGCCACCCCGGGCAGACCCCAAACUUCAGGGAGCUGCCAGGAUCAAUGGCUACAAGGGUCCCCGCCGAGUUUGGAGAAACAAGGAAAUCUCCCUUGUCUAUGAAGGUUUGGGGAGACCUGGCAUCUCAAAUCCAACAGCCCUGGUCCUCUUCCCUGGCUGCGCGGUUGCGGGUGAUGGUGGCGGUCUUGCUCUUCCUCCAGUUAGUAUGGUCUUGGGCGCAACGACAUGCAAUAAAAGAAAACAGUCUCAGCUCUGGAGUCAGCUGUAUGUUCGAAUCCUAACACCCUGACACUGUCCUUUCCCAUCUGUGUGACCCUGAGCAAGUUACUCCACGUCUCUGAACCUCAUUCUCCUCAGGCCUGCAGUCGGAAUAAGAGGAUCCGCGAUGAGAGCUCAUGGCACACCCAGUGGGCGCUGAACAAGCGUGGGAAUGAGAAGGAUUUGGUGCCAGCUGAGCCACCUGAAUGAGGCGCGUCCCGAGGCAGGAAAAAUCCGGUGCCGCGGAGGUCGCCUGGACUCUUCCGGAGCCAAGGGCGAGGUCGACGGCCCUCAGAGUCGUCCCCCGCCCCCAAUGCCUGGCCAGGAAGGAAGCCCGGGCGGCGGAGGGGCCCAGUGGCCGGGCCCGGCGCGGAGGCGGAGGCGGAGGCGGAGGCGGAGGCGGAGGCCGGGAGUCCGGCGCGCAGCCGGAGCUGCUCAUCCAUCAGCCGGACGAAGAGCAGAGUCGCGCUCUCGGCCCUCUGUUUGCUUUCUCGCCAAUUAUUGCAGCGCCGCAGCCCCUUUGUUGAUACAGUAGUCCGAAAAAGUGCUAAUGUUCAUUUAUCAGGGGGCCAGCCGGGGACUCCCACGAGUUGCGAUUCUUCCCAAAAUAUAAACAUGGGGCGAGCGUCCCAGACAGAAACCCCAUCUGUUUCCCCGCGCGGGCGGAGAGCUAGGCGUUGUUGAAGAUAAAGCCGCGGAUAACGCCGCCUGUCUCCAAUGGACGUCUCCCCGGCGCAUUAAUGACAUUCCCGGUGAUAGUUCCAGCUUAUCUUUCAAUUAAUCAUAUAUACCUUUUGCGGCCAGCCCUGCUGAUUGCACGAAAGGGGGGCCGGCUCCGGCUGCGCCGAUCGCUUUUCAAUUAAUAAUAAUUUAUUCACGGAGAAUGCGCUCGAGCCGCCCUGGAAUUUGGAUUAUCUUAAAGCACCAACUCUUUAAAAGUCAAGGAAAUACACGGAUAGAUUUUUGAUCUCUCCUCUCUCCUUUUGUCUCUCUCUGCCUUUCUCUAGGCUGAAGGCUGUUUGUCCUGCUAGUUUGGUCAAAGUGUGGCGUAGAGAGGCGGCCAGGUUGGGUCAGAGGCCCUUGGGAAAAAAGAUGUGUCCCUGUUGGGGGCCAGAGAAUCAAGUUUCCUUCCACCCAACCCCCAACCACUGCAACUUCUAUUUAGAUCUAUUUAGAGGGAUUUUUUUUUUUCUCGGAAACAGUGAGGACUGACAAGAAAAGUUGCAAAUCGCUCUCGGACUUUUCUCUAAGGAGACCAGCAUGGGUCGCCCCAAUUUCUAUUUUGCACGCAUUUGUGCAUUUUUGCCCCAUCUCCUCUCUCCUGCAACACCAAGACCUUUCUGGAAGCCAAGAGAAAUCAUUACCUGAUUCACACAGGGCAUAGAGAGUGUAAAAGUCACAGAUUUUGUUCAAAUAGGGAGGGUUUUUUUCCUUCCCUUUUU